UAGAAUGGUUUACAAUUGUUGAAUAGAAAACGAUAAUAUUUUGUAAAUAAACUAAAAGCAUGUGACACUGUCUUUUCACCUAUUAUUUGCUUUCGUGUCUUGUCAUUUAGGAGGGAUCUCCGUUACACUAUUGUAAAUUUAUUCUAUAAAAUUCAAAUAUUGGUUAGUAUAUAAAGAAAGUGUGAGUCAAAAGGAUCCAUAUGAAUUGUUUAUUUUCCUUUUUAAUCCUAAAAUUUGAAACAUGCCUCUUGUGAGCGCAGCUUUUUUGGAACCUGUCCGGAGCGGUAGCAGCUAUAUCACCGUGUCAAAGGUUGUCUCAUCUGUAUUAGGCUGGAUUUGAAAGUGAGCCGUCCGGAAAGAGGUUUUGAGGGAUCACAUCGAGCAUAACGACGUUAAACAAUUGCGCUAUUGGGAGGCAACCCAAAUACUUGCUUUAUUUUUUUAUUUUUAUCAUUAUUUUUUUCUUUCACUUAGUUUAUUUUGUUUUUAGUUUUUAGUUUUUUAAUUUCUUUUAUAAAAAAAUAUAAUUUUUUUUUUCUGGCAGGAGACUAAUUUCUAUAAGGCGUGACCACGCCUUGUUCCCAAACAUCUCCUGUUCUCUAAAAAAAAUAUAUAUAUAUUCUACUAUUACUCUUACAGAAGCUCGCUUCUUACAAGGCGUGAUCACGCCUUGUUUCAAGCUGUCUUCUGUUUUGUUUUGAAAAACUGCACCUCAAAAUUACAGAAGCUCGCUUCUUAUAAGGUGUGACCACGCCUUACUUCAAACCACUCUUUUUUUUUCUUAUUAUUAUUAUUAUUUAUUUUAUUUUUUUUGUUGUUCUUUUUAUUUUUUAUUAUUAUUUUUUUGUUUUUUAUUAUUUUUAUUUAAUUUAUUUAAUUAUUUUUAUUUUUUUAUUAUUAUUAUUAUUUUUUUUUUAAUUUUUAAUUUUUAUUAUUAUUAUUUUUUUUUGUGCUUAAAAAAGAGAGAGAGAGAAAAGAAAAGAGAACGUUUUAUUUUGCCAUAGCCACCAACGUUUUAUUUUCUUUUGCAGUAGCCAUCACCAAAACUUUCUAUUUUCACUGGGUGGUUCUACCUCCUUUCCCACCAUCACCACUCACUAUUCAGUCCGAAUUGCUCUCAAAUCAGGGGAGUUUCAUAUUUCUUUUCAUUUCUUUUGUGAGCCAUUUUCUUUUUGAUACAUUGAGGACAAUGUAUAGUUUAGGUGUAGGGGAGGAAUAUGAUAUAAUUACAUGAUUUCCUUUUCUUUUUGAAAAUAUUUUUUUUAUGCUUAUAAUUAGGUAUGCUUUAAUUCAUAUGUUCUAAUUCUUCUUUUGCAACCUUGAGUUUUAUUUUGAUAACCUGGAAUACCAUGUAAGUUAGAAAUACAUUUUUGGUUUGAAUUUCAAUGCAUGAAAGGGGAUAAGCAUGAUUAGUGUUUCUUUAAAACUAUCCGAAGGUAUCUCAUUAGUUUAUUGAUUGAAAAAUGCACAAGACUUGAUACAAAUGUAAACAUUCAAGUGAGUUUUUGAGCCAAAGAGCAGUUCAUUAUAUUUUGCUCUAAUUAUUUUUUAUUGAGUGUUAUCAAACUAGUAUGAUUAUUCUAGAACUUGCUUCUGAAUUCAUGUUGAGACCACAUUUUUGGAUUGAUGCUUUAAUAUGAUAAGGGCAAUUAGGAUUAACCUAUUCUUACACUCUUAAAAUACCUACCAUGUUGAUUUCCCUUUUAGUUAGCCACUUUGAGCCUAUUUUCCAUUUUCUUUUUUUAUUUUUAACACAUGUUGUUUAACCCAAGACCUUUCGUUUGCUACCUCUAUUUUUCUACCCUUGUCAAGACAAGAAGGGAAGUGUUGCAUGGUACAAAUGAAACAGAAAAAAAAAAGACAAAAAAAAAAGAGAAAAACAAAAAAAAGAGAGGGAAAGAAAAAGAAAAAAAGUGAGAAAAGAAAGUUGAUAUUUAUUCCUUUCAUGAAAGAGGAUAAUUGGAGAAGUAUUCAUCAAAUAUAUUGAAUUGAAUUAUUACAUGUUAUUUCUCCAAGAUUUUUAGAGCUAAUAUAAAAUGUGGGAAUAAAUCUCAAAGUUUUUGUAGUAUGUUUCGUGGAUGUGGCAUAAGUUAUCAUGCAAGAAUCUAAUAUUUUUGUCUUGAUUAUGAAACAUCUCAGCUCCUCCUUUAUCACACCCUUUCCUAAGCUCCAUUACAACCCUUGUAAGGUCCCUUUGAUUUUUGCAUCUAAUUCAUGUGUAGUGGUGGAUACUUGAUUCAGUAGCAAGCUUAUGGUAAUAACAUGCUAUGUUUUGAUUCCGAGAGUAAAUGCACCCUAAACACUUUGAGAGUAUUGAGUGAAACCAUGUGAGGGUGUUAAGUCUCAUUGCUUUGAUUUUGAUGAAUUAUUGAGAUACCUAUUCUUUUUACAAAAUUUAUCCUAUGAGUGCUAAUCUCUUGAUUGUCAUUAUUAUUCAGCUCAUUAAUGUAUGUUUAAUUUAUUUGGUAUUUGAGGAGAUUAAAAGAGAUGAAAGAAAGGUUAAAAGGAGAAUUGGUAUGUUGAAUUGAGGUAUGCUUGAGGACAAGCAUAAAUUAGGUGUGGGGAAAUUUGAUAGGUCAAAAAUAGUUAUAUUUAUUGUGUUUAAUUUCCUUGCGAUUUGGCUGAAUAAUGUACUUAAUUAUGGAAAUUAUGUUUAUUCUGACUUGGGUGAUGAAAUAUCAAGGAUGGAGCAAAAUCCAGCCUAAAGACAUAUUUUAAGUCAUCAUUUAUCAGAAACCAAGUCUUUUGGAGGAAGUGCAGAAAUCUGCACAGAAGAUCACUGUCGACAAGGCGUGACCAUGCCUUACAGCCCCUAAGCUCUGCAGAAAUCUGUGCAGAAGACUACUGUCAACAAGGCGUGACCACGUCUUGCGCCCCAUGAGCUGCUAAAAGAUGCGAAGGAGAGCUUCGAAAUUUUCAGAGUUUUCAUUGUGGUGGACCUAUCCCUAGUUAAUCUCCUCUAUUUUUGGAAGUGUUUGAUUAAUAGAAAUUUCUUCCAUGUAUUUAGGGUUUUAAUUUAUUUAGAUCACUUUUAAUCUUAUCCUUUCUUGUAGGGAUAAGAUUAAAUAGGAAGCUUAUUUCUUUUUGAUAAGGAUUCUAUUAAGGUUUAGGGUUUAAUUUCCUAUAUAAGGAUGGCUGGAAGUACCUUUAAAUAUUGAUAUUCUUAUUCUUCUUCUACUCUCUACAAUUCUUGUGAAUUCUUACUCCACUAUGAGUGGAUAAGUUUUUAGUUUCUAAU
RNAcentral lists this long non-coding RNA (3238 nucleotides) under Ricinus communis (castor bean). RNAcentral describes it as "long non-coding RNA (RCOM_LNC001770)". Lineage: Eukaryota; Viridiplantae; Streptophyta; Magnoliopsida; Malpighiales; Euphorbiaceae. The record is from RNAcentral.